RNAcentral lists this ribosomal RNA (492 nucleotides) under uncultured bacterium. Its description in RNAcentral is "partial 16S ribosomal RNA". It matches the Rfam family "Bacterial small subunit ribosomal RNA", at positions 29 to 507 of the family's 1533-position model. The record is from RNAcentral.
AGUGAACGCUGGCGGUAGGCCUAACACAUGCAAGUCGAACGGCAGCACAGUAAGAGCUUGCUCUUACGGGUGGCGAGUGGCGGACGGGUGAGGAAUACAUCGGAAUCUACUUUUUCGUGGGGGAUAACGUAGGGAAACCUACGCUAAUACCGCAUACGACCUACGGGUGAAAGCAGGGGAUCUUCGGACCUUGCGCGAUUGAAUGAGCCGAUGUCGGAUUAGCUAGUUGGCGGGGUAAAGGCCCACCAAGGCGACGAUCCGUAGCUGGUCUGAGAGGAUGAUCAGCCACACUGGAACUGAGACACGGUCCAGACUCCUACGGGAGGCAGCAGUGGGGAAUAUUGGACAAUGGGCGCAAGUCUGAUCCAGCCAUACCGCGUGGGUGAAGAAGGCCUUCGGGUUGUAAAGCCCUUUUGUUGGGAAAGAAAAGCAGCAGGUUAAUACCCCGCUGUUCUGACGGUACCCAAAGAAUAAGCACCGGCUAACUUCGUG